RNAcentral lists this ribosomal RNA (447 nucleotides) under uncultured bacterium. Its description in RNAcentral is "bacterial SSU rRNA". It matches the Rfam family "Bacterial small subunit ribosomal RNA", at positions 328 to 792 of the family's 1533-position model. The record is from RNAcentral.
UGACCAGACUCCUACGGGAGGCAGCAGUGGGGAAUAUUGCACAAUGGGGGAAACCCUGAUGCAGCGACGCCGCGUGAGUGAAGAAGUAUUUCGGUCUGUAAAGCUCUAUCAGCAGGGAAGAAAAUGACGGUACCUGACUAAGAAGCCCCGGCUAACUACGUGCCAGCAGCCGCGGUAAUACGUAGGGGGCAAGCGUUAUCCGGAUUUACUGGGUGUAAAGGGAGCGUAGACGGCAUGGCAAGUCAGAUGUGAAAGCCCGGGGCCCAACCCCGGGACUGCUCUUGGAACUGCAUGGCUGGAGUACAGGAGGGGCAGGCGGAAUUCCUAGUGUAGCGGUGAAAUGCGUAGAUAUUAGGAGGAACACCGGUGGCGAAGGCGGCCUGCUGGACUGUGACUGACGUUGAGGCCCGAAGGCGUGGGGAGCAAACAGGAUUAGAUACCCGUGUA